Molecule: ribosomal RNA, 315 nt
Filed under: uncultured bacterium
Lineage: Bacteria
Description: bacterial SSU rRNA
Rfam family: Bacterial small subunit ribosomal RNA
Source: RNAcentral
GACGAACGCUGGCGGCGUGCCAAUACAUGCAAGUAGAACGCUGACUACUUUAGCUUGCUAGAGUAGAAGGAGUUGCGAACGGGUGAGUAACGCGUAGGUAACCUGCCUACUAGCGGGGGAUAACUAUUGGAAACGAUAGCUAAUACCGCAUAACAGUGUUUAACACAUGUUAGAUGCUUGAAAGAUGCAAUUGCAUCACUAGUAGAUGGACCUGCGUUGUAUUAGCUAGUUGGUGGGGUAACGGCCCACCAAGGCGACGAUACAUAGCCGACCUGAGAGGGUGAUCGGCCACACUGGGACUGAGACACGGCCCAG